RNAcentral lists this ribosomal RNA (406 nucleotides) under uncultured bacterium. RNAcentral describes it as "partial 16S ribosomal RNA". It matches the Rfam family "Bacterial small subunit ribosomal RNA", at positions 28 to 526 of the family's 1533-position model. The record is from RNAcentral.
GACGAACGCUGGCGGCGUGCUUAACACAUGCAAGUCGAACGAGUGGCGAACGGGUGAGUAACGCAUCGGAACGUACCGAGUAAUGGGGGAUAACUGUCCGAAAGGACAGCUAAUACCGCAUAUUAUUCGAGCGGCCGAUGUCUGAUUAGCUGGUUGGCGGGGUAAAGGCCCACCAAGGCGACGAUCAGUAGCGGGUCUGAGAGGAUGAUCCGCCACACUGUGACUGAGACACGGCCCAGACUCCUACGGGAGGCAGCAGUGGGGAAUGUUGGACAAUGGGCGCAAGCCUGAUCCAGUCAUGCCGCGUGUCUGAAGAAGGCCUUCGGGUUUUAAAGGACUUUUGUCAGGGAAGCGGUACCUGAAGAAGAAGCACCGGCUAACUACGUGCCAGCCGCCGCGGUAAUUC